GGACUUGGAGCUUGCCUUUGAAGCUUGGUGGUGGACCAAUCUUCAACCUAAGAGGAUUUUGGACUUGGUUUGGAGCUUCCCAGUGGUAUAUGACUAGUUCUUCUCCUCUAGAUCCUAGUUUUGGAGCUUUUUGCUUGAUGAAACCCUAGAUUGGGAUUCUUGGGUUAGAUUUGGGGCUUUUUGGAUUUGAGGGCUUUGAACCUAAUUGAUGGGUUUGGAACAUUUAAUUAGGUUGGAUUUGAAGAACUCUAACUCCCAUUUGGAGCUUGAGAGAGGAUUUCUUCACUUAGGUGAGUUUUUCUCCACCUUAGCCUAUGUUGCUUUUGUUUGAGCUUAGGGUUGAUCGUAAGAUUUGUUUGACCCUUGUUCCUACAUCUUUAGGGUGCUAGGAGAUUAGUCGACACCUUCGUCGGGGCUUACGAAGGGUUUCGGUAUCAUCGGUGGGUUUGGCUUCAUGAACACGAAGCAAAAUGGCCCCUAUGUUUUCUAUACUUGUCGUAGAGUAUUUUUGAAUGCAAAUCCAUGCUAAAUAUGAAUUAUGUGAAUUUUAGAACGCUUGAAAUGCAUGCCUUAUGUAUUCAUGAAAUUGCACUCUAUAUAGUAGAGCUAUAUGUGUAAACUGCAUGCAUUGUGGAAGGUGGUUAGCUUUGCAAAUUGAGAACAUAUCUCUUAUGUUUGAAAUGAGUAAAAUUAUAUAUUCAUGAACAUAGGUACCAUGCUUGGACUCAUUGAACAAUAGUGUCAUAAAGGGGCACUUGAAACUAGUAAACUGUGAAAAUGUAACAUAGAGACAUAGUGAUAGGCCAUUGGACGUCGACUAUAUUCCAUGUUAGAGACAUGACGACAUAGUGAUAGGCCUUUGUGACAUUCGAUAUAUUCCAUGCUUUAGACAUGAGGACUUGGUAUUUGAGACAGACUUAUACGCAUGCUUGCCAUUGUGCUCAUUCGCACAUGCUUGUGAGGAUCGCUCUCUACAAGCCGGCACUCCGGAGUUGGCCAUCGCGAUAUAUUCGCUGUGUGGGAUUGGGCGCCGAAGUGGAUUGCCGUGGGAAAGGCUCAUUUCUAGGGUGGGGAUGUGACUACCACGGGGCCAUUAGGCACGGUAAAGCCAGACAGCCUUCAGGUGGGUCUUAUGCCAGACAGCCUUCGGGUGGGUCUUAUCAGAGUUGAACUUUAAACAGUUAAAGUGACAAGUGGACAUUGGCUAGAAUAGUGAACAUUGACAUUAUUGCUAUUCACAUUGUGAGCAUUGGGAUAGUUGCAUAUUUUUGCAUUUACAUGUUGGAUACUCUUGUGCAUAUUCUUGUAGUAGUUACUUUCUUGUUUAUGCAAAUUCUGCUAAGUAGAGACAUCAUGGUUGAGUAGUAAUCCUGUUUAUUUUCUAGUUGUUUUUAUCGCUUUUGGCUUAUGCUUAUACACUGACCCUUUUGUUGUAGCCUUUGGGCCUAGUGGCGCAUUCACUGAAGUCAGUAAUUGCCCACUGGGAACUAUUAUUUAAUAGUUCUCACGCCUCUAUUUCUAUGUUUUCUUUUCAGAGCCUUCGGCACCGGCGGAGGCGCGGGAUCGCGGCAAGGGUGCCGCGUAGUUAGCUCGGAGAGAGAGUCCGUUCUGCUUUAGGUGGUUACUCAUCCUUUGUUUGUGUAGAGAGAAUGAUAGAUUUUGCACCAUGUAUAGAGAGACCACAUUGUAUUCAGACUAGUACUUGUUAUGGGACUCCUUUUGUAUUAUCUUAUGUUUACUUAGUGGAUUACCAGUUUUAUGUUCUUCUCCUUGUUGUAGCACUUCGUAGUAUUUUGCUCUGAUACACUUAGAUGCUUUCUUUUUAUUGUUUUAUUUACCGCUUUAUUUUAAACGCCUUGUAUGUUUUAGACGUACGGCAGGUCUGGACACGCGCCGUGCGGGCUCCCGCUGGGUCCCGGGGCGUGACAAAUUAGUUUGGUAUCAGAGCCUAGGGUUGAGUCUUAGUGGACCUAGCAAACCUUAGGCUGAUUGGACUAUUGGAUAUAGGCUCGUGAGUGACGAGAUCUAUUUGAUUUGUAAGAGAAAGUAUCUUGAUUAGGUAUCUUUGAUAACUCUAGAAAGUGGAGUUAGAUCGAAGUGUACAGCCUCUAACUUCGCGGAGGGUUACGUUGGCGGCCGACAACGUAACAUUGGGAGUUAGUGGUGAAGAACACUUCCUUACUUUCGCAUGAUUUGGGUAUUGUCUAUUUGAGCGGGGAUCCGAUAGCGUGGGUCUUACUAACUUACGCUUUUAUGAUAUUGUAGUGUGAUGCCGAUUACACGCUACCAAUCUGAGCGGAUAACGUGGCAAACCUGGAGGAGGUUGAGACCUCCGCUACCUCCGGAUCCGGCGAGGUCCGUGAGUUGAGGGGCCAGCUUGCGGCCCUCACUGAUAUGGUGGCAUAGCAGACUGAGGCGGCGCGCCGACAGGAGGCGCGGAUGAAGCGUCUGGAGGAUCUCCUACUACAGCAGACGGAGGCUCGGGAGACUCAGGCCCCUACACCGCCAGCACCGGUUGUGGACGUCGCGCCGAGAGCGCCAUCCCGAGCGCCCAGUUCGUCGCGAGCACCACCCGCGGUAGCGCCUCAGGAGGAGGCUAUUGGGGCACCACCUGUGCAGAGGCCCCCGAUUGGAGCUGUUUUUUUCGUGAUGGCUGACGGGGCAGAGCGGGACCGACUGAUGGAGCGCCUCAAUUAGUUCAGGAGGUGUAGCCCCAGGAUUUUCGAUGGCGAGAAGGUCGACCACUGGAACGUGAAAAAGUGGUUGAUGCAUAUGGAGAAGCUCUUCCGCGAUACCUUCGUGGAGGAGAGGGAUCGAGUUUGGCUCGCCACUCAUCAUCUGGACGGCGAGGCCUAUCACUGGUGGUUGGAUCUCCAGGAAAACCCCAGCACUGACUUGACGGCUAUAUCUUGGACGAGGUUCAAGGAGCUUCUAUUGGCUCACUACUUCGCGACCAGCGUCAAGCGGAAGAUGGAGCAGGAUCUGCACAACUUGCGCCAAGGUGAUCGAACUGUUGCCGAGUACGAGCGGGAGUUUUCUCGGCUUCUUCAUUGCGUGCCUUUCGUCGUGCGGGACGACGAGGACAAUGCCCGCAUCUUCGAGCGAGGGUUGCGACCGUCGAUUUUCCGGUUUGUGCAAUCCACUAACCUCCAAACCUACCGGGAGGUGGUGAUCCGCGCGCUCAUAGUGGAGAGCGGCGCAGCAGAGGUCCAGGAGCGACGAGAGGCCAUGGACAAAGGCAAGGCCAAGAGGCCUGCGGCUGAGGGUGCGAGCCAGACGCACUCUAGGAGGCCACCGAAGCAUCCUAGGAGCCAGCAGCGUGGACGAGGCUCAGCAGCGCAGUGAGGAGGAUCUGACCGACGCCGGCCCUCCCCGUGUGUGAUCUGUGGUGGUCCUCAUCACCCACCGCACUGUCCACAGCGGGCGGGCAGGUGCUUCCAGUGUGGCCAGGAGGGCCACGUGCGGACUGAGUGCCCGAGAAGUUCUUCACCGGCACCGUCGACUCCAUCGGCACCGGCUCUACCAGCCGCCAGCCACGGGACUCCGUCGACACGGUACCAGCCUGGGCGGCCACCCGUCGUAUGCCGCUCAGACUGAGUAGGCGGCAGGAGCUGAGGAUGUGGUUGCAGGUAUCAUUUUACUUGAUGGCAUUAGAGUUCGUGUUUUAUUUGAUACCGGUGCAUCGCAUUCAUUUAUAGAUCGGCUGUUUGCCGAGUUGCAUGGCAUCCCUUUGGUUUCUUUAUUGCAUCCGGGACAUGUUGUAGUACCCGACCACACUCUGGAUAUUAGAGAGUAUUGCCCUAGUUGCCCCGUUCGGGUAGGAGCUUAGAUCAUGCCCGUAGAUUUGCUAGCCCUGCGCAAGCUAGGGGUUUCGAUGUGGUCUUGGGUAUGGAUUGGCUAACCAAGUAUUAUGCCACGAUAGAUUGCAAGAAUCGCACGGUUACUUUUAGAGAACCAGGACAGACUGAGGUUGUGUUUAGAGGAUGCCGGAGUUCGCUUUUUGCGAUGUCGAUCAGCUCGUCUCGAGCUAGGCAGCUGAUCAGCCGAGGAUGUGUAGCCUACUUGGCUAGUGUUGUGUUGAGGGGCGAGGAUGGCACCCCUAGGAUUGAGGAUAUCCCGGUGUUACGGGAGUUCCAGGACGUGUUUCCAGCAGAGUUAUCGGGUAUGCCACCCGAUAGGAAGAUCGAGUUUGUAGAAGAUCUCGUCCCUGGGACUACCCCAAUCUCAAAGGCACCCUAUAGGAUGGCACCAGCGGAACUGAAGGAGCUGAGGGCACAGCUACAGGAUUUGUUGGACAAGGGCUUCAUUCGACCGAGCGUCUCGCCGUGGGGAGCGCCAGGUUUGUUCGUCAAGAAAAAGGAUGGAUCACUUCGCCUAUGUGUGGAUUAUCGUGAACUUAAUAAAGUCACGAUCAAGAAUAAGUAUCCGUUGUCGAGGAUCGACGAUUUAUUUGAUCAGCUUCAAGGAUCGUGUGUGUAUUCCAAGAUAGAUUUGCAGUCGGGACACCACCAAUUAAAGAUCAAACCCGAGGAUGUAUCGAAGACGGCUUUUAGAAUACGGUAUGGACAUUAUGAGUUCACAGUGAUGCCGUUCGCGCUUACUAACGCCGCGGCAGGUUUUAUGGAUCUGAUGAACCGUGUUUUCAAGCCUUACCUGGACAGAUUUGUCGUGGUGUUCAUCGACGAUAUUUUGGUUUAUUCCCGAAGUGAUGCGGAUCAUAAGAAACAUUUGAGGCUUGUAAUUCAAAUACUUCGGGAAAAGGAGCUUUAUGCCAAGCUGAAAAGUGUGAAUUUUGGCUUCGAGAGGUAGCCUUCCUUGGACAUUUGAUAUCGGGAUCGGGUAUAGCCGUGGAUCCUAAGAAGAUUAAAGCAAUCAAGGAUUGGCCGAGACCGACGAGCGUCACGGAGAUUCGGAGCUUCCUUGGAUUGGCCGGUUAUUAUCGGAGAUAUGUUGAGGGGUUUGCUAAGUUGUCUACUCCCCUCACGAGGCUCACGCAUAAAGGCGUUAAGUUCAUCUGGAAUGAUGCGUGUGAGAGAAGCUUCCAAGAGUUGAAGCAAAGAUUGACGACCGCCCUGAUCCUGACCCUACCUAUUGCUGGAGCAGGGUAUGUGGUUUUUAGCGAUGCAUCUCUUAAUGGAUUGGGCUGCGUUCUGAUGCAGGAUGGCAAGGUGAUCGCGUAUGCUUCUCGCCAACCGAAGGAAUAUGAAAAGAAUUACCCUACGCACGAUUUGGAGUUGGCGGCCGUAGUCUUCGCAUUGAAGUUAUGGCGCCACUACUUGUAUGGCGAGCGGUGUGAAGUAUACACGGAUCACAAGAGCUUGAAGUAUUUGUUCACUCAGAAGGAGUUGAACUUGAGACAGCGCAGAUGGUUGGACCUGCUCAAAGAUUAUGAUUUGAUGAUUCUUUACCACCCGGGCAAGGCUAACGUGGUAGCUGAUGCGCUAAGUCGGAAAUCGACAGAAAACUUAGCGAUGCAUGUUGUUACUCAACCGCAGUUGAUCGAGCAAAUGAAGCAGUUGGAGUUGGAGGUGGUGACUCCUGACAUGCCUUUGAGGUUGAUGACGCUGGUGGUGCAACCUACACUUUUGGAUCGAAUUAAAGAAAAGCAAACUUCCGAUGUGGAGUUGCAAAAGAUUAAUGGUAAAAUAGUUGAUGGUUGCACCGGCGAUUUUCUUGUGGAUGACCAAGGAUUGAUGCGUUUCCGUGGACGGAUUUGUGUACCGGCGGAUUCAGGAAUUAAAGAAGAUAUUCUUCAAGAAGCGCACCGAGCGCCCUACGCUAUACAUCCGGGAGGCACCAAGAUGUAUAAGGAUUUAAAGUUGCUUUAUUGGUGGCCCGGGAUGAAAAAGGACGUUGGCAAGUUUGUAGCUUGUUGUCUAUCCUGCCAACAAGUAAAGGCUGAGCAUCGAUUACUCGCGGGAAAACUCCAGAGUUUGCUUCUUCCCGUGUGGAAGUGAGAGAAGAUCACCAUGGAUUUUGUGACAUGAUUGCCUCGCUCUCAGGCCGGGCAUGAUGCUAUAUGGGUGAUCGUGGAUAGGUUGACGAAGUCGGCGCACUUCAUACCUAUUCAUACGACUUGGACCGGAGAGAAGCUCGCACAAGUGUACCUUGAUGAGAUUGUGCGACUUCAUGGGGUGCCUACCUCGAUUAUAUCGGACCGAGACACUCGGUUUGUGCCUCACUUCUGGAGAAGUCUACAGGACGCCAUGGGCACCCGACUCGACUUCAGCACUGCUUUCCACCCUCAGAGUGAUGGGCAGAAGGAGUGCACUAUUCAGACCAUAGAGGAUAUGCUCCGAGUAUGUGUGAUAGACUUCCAGGGAGGAUGGUCGCAGCAUCUACCGAUGGCGGAGUUUGCGUAUAACAACAGUUAUCAAGCAAGCAUUAAGAUGGCACCAUUCGAAGCACUUUAUGGACGAAAGUGUAGAUCGCCACUUCAUUGGAGUGAAGUUGGCGAAAGAUUGGCAUUAGGCCCUGAUGUGCUCCAGGAAGCUGAGGACAAGGUUCGAAUUGCUCGGGAGCGACUUGUGACAGCGCAGAGUAGACAGAGGAGCUACGCCGACCGACGACGGCGAGACUUGGAGUUCCAAGUUGGAGACUAUGUUUUCUUGAAGGUCUCGCCGACUAGAGGGAUCAAGAGAUUUGGGAUUCGGGGUAAGUUGAGCCCCCGUUUCAUUGGACCGUAUGAGAUCUUGGAACGGAUAGGUCCGAUAGCGUACCGACUUGCUCUACACCGAACCUAUCUGGCGUGCACAACGUCUUUCAUGUAUCGGUCCUUCGGAAUUAUGUCUUCGACCAGACUCAUGUGUUGGAUGCUACACCUGUAGAGUUGUGGGACGAUUUGAGCUUCGAGGAGCAACCCGUGAAGAUCUUGGCUCGCGAGGUGCGGAAACUGCGGAAUCGGGAUAUUCUGUACGUGAAGGUUCUUUAGAGCAACCACAGGGAGCGAGAAGCCACAUGGGAGCAAGAGAACGCGAUGCGGGAGCGCUAUGCCCAUCUUUUUCAAAUGGAGCCUUGCGGUAUGUUGUCGUUUUGAGUUUUGCGGACGAAACUCUUUUUUAGGAGGGGUGAAUGUAGCACAUUGGACCUUUGCAAAUUGUGAGGUUCGAGUGUUUGAUGUGUACUCCGAACUUUUCCACACUUGGUGGAAGGCCAUAGAUGGUAUUCCGGCCUAAAAGUUAGAUCUCUAGAGUUUUGACUUAGUCCUGAGAGUUUUCACUCUCGGGGACCGGUCCCUGAGAUGAGAGACCGGUCCCCUCAGAGCAGCACUACGGCAGGACUUGAGGCAACCGGUCCUUGGCUGGGAGAGACCGGUUCCCAAGCGCGUGUUCUGUGUAAGGGGUCCGAAAGACCCGUCCCUAGCGGGGAGCGACCGGUUCCCGAAUGUGGGAUUUUCGGGGCAGACUGAGUGACCGGUCCCAAGUCGGGGAGACCGGUCCCUCUGGGCGAAAACUGCCCAGACCGGGCUGAUGUGAAUUUGAGUUUUUGAGGGGCUUUUCUAGAUUUUGUUGCACUAGAUGGUCUAUAUGACCCUUUCACUCUCUUCCCUCCUCAUUUCUCCCCUUCACACCCAUUCUAGAAAGAGAAGAAGAGAGGGAGAAGGAGAGGAAGAAGAAGGAGAAUGAGAGGAUCUUGCUUGGAGGCCUUGGAGCACUAUCUUCUUCCCCAUUUUUCAUCUUUGGCGGACUUGGAGCUUGCCUUUGAAGCUUGGUGGUUGACCAAUCUUCAACCUAAGAGGAUUUUGGACUUGGUUUGGAGCUUCCAAGAGGUAUGUGACUAGUUCUUCUCCUCUAGAUCCUAGUUUUGGAGCUUUUUGCUUGAUGAAACCCUAGAUUGGGAUUCUAGGGUUAGAUUUGGGGCUUUUUGGAUUUGAGGGCUUUGAAACCUAAUUGAUGGGUUUGGAACCUUUAAUUAGG
RNAcentral lists this long non-coding RNA (7916 nucleotides) under Ananas comosus (pineapple). RNAcentral's name for it is "long non-coding RNA (ACOM_LNC003761)". The record is from RNAcentral. Lineage: Eukaryota; Viridiplantae; Streptophyta; Magnoliopsida; Poales; Bromeliaceae.